Molecule: ribosomal RNA, 252 nt
Filed under: uncultured bacterium
Lineage: Bacteria
Description: partial 16S ribosomal RNA
Rfam family: Bacterial small subunit ribosomal RNA
Source: RNAcentral
UACGUAGGGUGCGAGCGUUAAUCGGAAUUACUGGGCGUAAAGUGUGCGCAGGCGGCAGAGCAAGUCGAGUGUGAAAGCCCCGGGCUUAACUUGGGAAUUGCGCUCGAAACUACUUUGCUGGAGUGUGGCAGAGGAAGGUGGAAUUCCACGUGUAGCGGUGAAAUGCGUAGAGAUGUGGAGGAACACCAAUGGCGAAGGCAGCCUUCGGGCCAACACUGACGCUCAUGCACGAAAGCGUGGGGAGCAAACAGG